RNAcentral lists this long non-coding RNA (1583 nucleotides) under Mytilus galloprovincialis (Mediterranean mussel). Lineage: Eukaryota; Metazoa; Mollusca; Bivalvia; Mytilida; Mytilidae. The record is from RNAcentral.
GCGAGGGGAUAAUAAACUAAGUUUUAUAAGAAUUAGACAAAAAGAUCGAUUACCCGCCAUGCAUGGCAGACUUGUACAGAAACGAUAUGUUGUCGAAAUUCUGUUCGUAUUUUUUAGACAUCGUAUGGCCAUCGCGCUAUCAUCGUAAUACAUCGUGUAGCCUUCGUAAUCCAUCGUGUAGCCUUCGUGAUCCAUCGUGUAGGCUACGGCUGAGAUAUGAAGCUUAAAUACCCGUCUUCGGUUAACCUUCGUAUGUCCAUCUUUUGCUAUCGUAUACAAUUUCGGCACCAUCGUAUAGACUUCGUUAUUCAUCGUACUUGCUUCGGUCACUUUUUGGUAUUUUAACGAGAUCGGGACCAACUUCGUACGAACUUACAAUUUUAGCAUUCGGGUGUCCAUCGUAUAUAAAAAUCGGGACAGUGUGACGCGGGCAUUAGGAAAGAGCAUAACUUUAACAAUAGAUUCUAAUUGAUAAUUAGCAUGAUAAAUUUAUAGUCUCAUUAAAUACAUUUUUGGAUAAUUAUAUUGUCAUUAAAUUUUCUUAUUAUUUCCGAAAGACAUCUGUAAACUCAUCAGAAUAAGGAAUGUUUGAAGUAAGAUUUUUUCUGCUAUAAUUGUACUUAAAUUUGCAAUGUAUCUGCUUAAACUUACUUCAGAUAUUUUAUUUCUGAAACUUAAUAAAUCUAGUGUAAAAAUCACCCUACAGUAAAUUAAACAAUGGCUAUUAAUUAGCCUACAUUGUGUUUUGGAAAAAACUUUUAUUUGUUGAUUUAGAUUUUUCGUUGUUUGUUAAAAAUUAUUGCUUUUGAAUUCUUUGUUUCAGACUUAGAUUAUAUAUAAUAAACCAAUGGAAAAUAUGCAUUUUUUUGGUAUUAAAAUUUGUAUUUUUGACUAACUAUGAAAGAAAAUUGUACUCUUAUUAAUUGAAGUAUUUCCUAAUACUUAUAGCUGCAAGUUUCAUCAUAAUAUCUUUAGAGCAGCCAUUGCUAGAAUUUUUAACACUUAAAUUGAUAUGAUUGAAUCUUUAAUAAAAUAUUAUUAAGGAUGUACUUAAGGUGAGGUUUUGAAAGUUUUGUUUGAUGUUCGGACUCCUUGUUUUUUUCCUACGAUAUAGAAACACCCAUUUUUCUGUUCAUAUACAAGACUCCAAUAGCUCAAAAUUUUAGUAGAUUCUUGAUUUUAUUUCUUUUUAAUUGAAACCCAAAUAAUACACCAAUGCAAAUAUAAGAUAAAAGUCGACGUUUUUCAAAAUUUAAAUAUCUUGAAAAGGAGAUCAAUAAGCUAUCAAUUUUUUUUGCUCAUAUUUUGUUCCUUAAUUAAUGCUCUUCUAACUUAUAAUAUCAAUUUUAAAUUCUAAAUUUAUGUAAUUUCACCUAAGUACUUCCUUAACAUGUAAAUUGUAACACCUAUAUAGAGAUAUUUCUGUAUCAGUAUUAUGUAAGGGGAGAUCACUCCAUUAAUUUGUCUAGCUUUGUAAACUCUUUGUAGGGAAUGUAGGUUGAAUGUCUGAACAUUAUAUGCAUUCCUUAUUUCACUUUUUGCUUGAUAUGUUUGAAAAUAAACUGUACAUUCAAUUCAUUAAU